This is a long non-coding RNA of Rosa rugosa (rugosa rose), 593 nucleotides long. RefSeq lists it as uncharacterized. The transcript is spliced from 3 exons. NCBI's taxonomy places the organism in Eukaryota, Viridiplantae, Streptophyta, Magnoliopsida, Rosales, Rosaceae. The record is from RefSeq and is a predicted model, not a curated record.
GGUUUUUUCGCUCUCUCGCUUCUCCUUAUCAACUUGACAGUGGUGCAGAUAUUUAGCAACUGGAGGGUUUGAUUAGAUACGCGGCAAGGAAUAUUGAUUUCUGUGGCAAAGGGAUUGAUUUCCGUCUCAAAUCAAUAUUCUGUCUCUAACCUGCAUUUGAUCAAUCGGCACGAGGUUAUUGAGCUUCCUCGAAGAUAGACAAAGCUCGAGCUUUCUGGAGAUGACGAUCUUCUUCAUUUUAAGAGAAUUAAGAUUGGGUAUCUGCCCCUGAGGAUUCUUAGCAACAUCGGCUCCUCAAAUUUGUUAGAUCAUGCCGAAGAGAUUUGUAUAAUCUCAAGUCCAGAAAGUAGUUGAUUCUUUCCAUCUUCGGGGAGCCGCUAUCACCAUCUCGAUUCACUGUUAGUCAAAGUCAACCUCAACGAUCAAAAUCAAGAACAGUAAAAGCUUGGUAAGAUUUCAACCAAGCAAAAUCAAGAUGAAUAUCAUAGUUGUUCAUCUUUUGUUCAUAUACCCAACGUGAUUACCUUUAAUUCACUUUUCGUUUUCAUGUUUUCAGUUGUAGUAAUUGAUUUAUCAGCUUUUAUAAUCUUUCA